AAGUCUAACCAUUUUGAAAUACUAUCUUCGUUGUUCUGUUUACAUUGUCUUGUUGCUUUUGCAACGCAUUCUACAAGCUGAGUAAGCAACUCUUGAAUGUGGCGUUUUGCCAAAAUGCCAUAUGUACUGCAGUUAUCAUGAUUCCUGUUAAAAAUUGUUUCAUUCAUGUGUUUAGUAACCCAAACUCUUGCAUAUUCACUUUGGUCUAUUAUAAAGCUAAUGUAGUGUUAAAAAUUUUCCAAUUGAGCCAACUGUACCAUAAUUGAUUUCAUAAGACUACUUUUCACGACUGAAAGAUGUCAUCACAUGCUCUUUGACAUCUAUUGAAAAAAGAUCAGCAACAUUAUCAAUGGUAGUUUUGGUGACAGCAUCUUUGAAAGAUAGAGAAGCUAUUACAUUUUCUGUCUUGCUUUCGAAAACACUUAUGAACAUACACCAAACAGUACCUUUAUACACCUCCAUUUGCGACUGUAACUGUCAUUCAGUCGAAUGAAAAAAUACGUUAUGUAGAAGUAACAUUGGUAGCAAUCAUCGCUCUGUAAGGUGACAAUAAAUUAAACUGAUAGUCAUUAUUUCGAUGUUCAUUGUGUUCCUCUAUGUCAUCUGAUAUAUCAGUAUUUCUUCGGUUGCAUAAGAAAUGUCAAAUCAAACAUCUUGUGUGCUGUAUUCGGCUAGUUUUGUGUCAAUUUCCCGAAAUAUUAUAUCUGUAACCUGGACCGCCAUUCUUCUAUAAUCAUCCUGAGAAGCCCAACUGCAAUGCCUCUGUUGUCUGAUUAUGCUUAUAUGAUUACUAGAUAUCUGCGAAAGGCUUAUGCUACCUUCUAAUUUUU
This 830-nucleotide long non-coding RNA is filed under the name Mytilus galloprovincialis (Mediterranean mussel). Lineage: Eukaryota; Metazoa; Mollusca; Bivalvia; Mytilida; Mytilidae. The record is from RNAcentral.